This 623-nucleotide ribosomal RNA is filed under the name uncultured bacterium. Its description in RNAcentral is "bacterial SSU rRNA". It matches the Rfam family "Bacterial small subunit ribosomal RNA", at positions 63 to 699 of the family's 1533-position model. The record is from RNAcentral.
CGGGGUCUUUUUGGAGCUUGCUUUGGAAAGAUCUAGUGGCGGACGGGUGAGUAACACGUGAGCAACCUGCCUUUCAGAGGGGGAUAACGUUUGGAAACGAACGCUAAUACCGCAUAACGCAGAGAGACGGCAUCGUCUUUCUGGCAAAGGAGUAAUCCGCUGAAAGAUGGGCUCGCGCCCGAUUAGAUAGUUGGUGAGGUAAUGGCUCACCAAGUCGACGAUCGGUAGCCGGACUGAGAGGUUGAACGGCCACAUUGGGACUGAGACACGGCCCAGACUCCUACGGGAGGCAGCAGUGGGGAAUAUUGCACAAUGGGGGAAACCCUGAUGCAGCGACGCCGCGUGAGUGAAGACGGUCUUCGGAUUGUAAGGCUCUGUCUUCGGGGACGAUAAUGACGGUACCCGAGAAGGAAGCCACGGCUAACUACGUGCCAGCAGCCGCGGUAAUACGUAGGUGGCGAGCGUUGUCCGGAAUUACUGGGUGUAAAGGGAGCGUAGGCGGGAAGCCAAGUUGGAUGUGAAAUACCGCAGCUUAACUGCGGGGCUGCAUCCAAAACUGGUUUUCUUGAGUGAAGUAGAGGCAGGCGGAAUUCCUAGUGUAGCGGUGAAAUGCGUAGAUAUUA